This 229-nucleotide ribosomal RNA is filed under the name uncultured bacterium. RNAcentral describes it as "partial 16S ribosomal RNA". It matches the Rfam family "Bacterial small subunit ribosomal RNA", at positions 568 to 796 of the family's 1533-position model. The record is from RNAcentral.
CGUGUAGGCGGUUUGUUAAGUCAGUUGUUAAAUCCCCCAGCUUAACUGGGGAGCAGCAAUUGAUACUGGCAGACUAGAGGUAGAGAGAGGGAAGUGGAAUUCUCGGAGUAGCGGUAAAAUGCGUAGAUCUCGAGAGGAACACCGAUAGCGAAGGCAGCUUCCUGGCUCUAUACUGACGCUGAGGCGCGAAAGCGUGGGGAGCAAACAGGAUUAGAUACCCUGGUAGUCC